GGGAGCCUUAAGUUCAUACGCUGGU
Molecule: non-coding RNA, 25 nt
Filed under: Rattus norvegicus (Norway rat)
Lineage: Eukaryota; Metazoa; Chordata; Mammalia; Rodentia; Muridae
Source: RNAcentral